AGACAGAGACGGACGAGGAGCCCAAGAUGGUGACCGACACCGAGGAGGGGAGACCGGGCCGGAGCCCCGCGGGGGCCAGCAGCAGAUAGUUCCGUGUCCCUCCAGGUGAGGUUACCUGUUCGGAGCUGCAGCGGGGAUGAGGAAGACUCCGCACAGCCACAGCAGAGCCUUCAUCAUGGCGGAAGUUCGUCUGAAGCCGCUGAGCUCAGCAGCGCCUUCACACCUGAGCGGUGGCCACGCCCCCUACACCUGCUGAGCGCGGCAGAUGAACAGUUCAGGUCCUGAGGAGUUUUAACCCUUUACCUGCUGCUUCUGGCGGAACCAGAGCUCUGACCUGCUGGACCUCUAACCCGUCCAGAACCCAGCAGGUUCUGGUUCUAGAAACCCACAACAUUUUAGACUGGAUUAUUACACUUAUCUGAUUUUUUUCUUGUUUUGAGCAGAACUUUGGUGAACUUUAAAUGUACAAUAGAAAUAAACAUUGACUUAACUUUUGCAU
Molecule: long non-coding RNA, 499 nt
Organism: Poecilia latipinna (sailfin molly)
Lineage: Eukaryota; Metazoa; Chordata; Actinopteri; Cyprinodontiformes; Poeciliidae
Exons: 2
Source: RefSeq, a predicted model, not a curated record